Molecule: ribosomal RNA, 253 nt
Filed under: uncultured bacterium
Lineage: Bacteria
Description: partial 16S ribosomal RNA
Rfam family: Bacterial small subunit ribosomal RNA
Source: RNAcentral
UACGGGGGGGGCAAGCGUUGUUCGGAAUUACUGGGCGUAAAGGGCUCGUAGGCGGCCAACUAAGUCAUACGUGAAAGCCCGGGGCUCAACCCCGGGAGGCGGGCGGAUACUGUCGGGCUAGAGUCCGGAAGAGGCGAGUGGAAUUCCUGGUGUAGCGGUGAAAUGCGCAGAUAUCAGGAGGAACACCGGUGGCGAAGGCGGGUCUCUGGGCCGAUACUGACGCUGAGGAGCGAAAGCGUGGGGAGCGAACAGG